Molecule: long non-coding RNA, 1062 nt
Organism: Xenia sp. Carnegie-2017
Lineage: Eukaryota; Metazoa; Cnidaria; Anthozoa; Malacalcyonacea; Xeniidae
Exons: 3
Source: RefSeq, a predicted model, not a curated record
UCAUUCUUGCAGAGCAAACACAUUGCUCAUUUUACGAAGGAAUAUACAUUGGAAUAGAAAGAGAGCACAACAAAAAGCAACAGCAAAGGAUCAUUCAACGAAAUGAUUUCUAAAGCGAUCAAAAUGUUGAUCCUCGUCGCUAUAACCUACUCCUCAUUGGCAAGACCUGAUUUGGAAUCAAGAGGACACAGGGCAAUGAGGGCAGUCGAGCAUGUAAAUAAUUCAGGCAAAGACAUAGAGGAAGUUAUCGUAGAUGAAAAUAAAAUGCAGAAACGGAAUGAAAAUGACUUAAACGUCAAUUCAAUUACACCAACAAGUAUUGUUGCACCAAGCAGCAUUGAGUCAUCAAACAAAGUUAUGGCAACAACUAAUAUUUUGCCCCCAAUCAAUACUGUUGUGACAAGCAGUACAAUGCUACUAAAUAAUAUUGUGCUUCAAACAAAUGUUUCUACAGCAACCAAUACUUUAGCGCCCUUAUCCGCCUAUGUGACAUCAUCUCACGCUGUAACACAGUCUACUAAUACUAUUAAAUCUACCGAAGCUCUGGAACUAAUUAGACCUUUUAAAACUUGUCCAUUCGAUUGCAAUCAGCUGUGUAUUAAGAAGUAUGGAAAAUACUAUAAAUGCAACAAGAAGCUAUAUAUAUGCUGUCACAUUGGGUGUUUGACAUACAAUAAAUAUGUAAAAUUAGGCCUAAAACCGUGGCUUUCUUAUGUCCUUACGUUUGAGAAAAUUUGCAAAUGUCGAAGUAUGCAAAUAAUUUAAGGUUAACUUUAACAUAGCAUCAAGUAGUCGGAAUACAUUAUUAAAUUUAAGUGUUAACUUUGCAAAGAAUGCCAGCAUGUUUAACAUAUGUAAAAUAUGGUUGUAAUAUAAAUCAUAGUUCUUCAAUCUUUUUUUGUUCAUUUUUCUAUAGCAGAUUUCAUAAAGUAAAAAUAAUUGCGUUAUUUUGAAAUCACUUACCACAACUAUACAAAAAUAUCCUUCUAUUUGAAAUAGCUUAUUAGCCUACGUAAUAGAGUGCUCGUAUAAAUGUUAAAAAAUAAUUUAUAGCCUUAUUUU